AGUUUAGGAUUUGUGACCUGCUCUAGAUUAUGUUUUUGAAUUUUUGCAAAUAUGUGGCGUUAAAAUUCGUGUGGAGGUCAACGUGUGUAUGUGACUGUGGGAAGAUCAGAGCGUGGCUCUGUUUCUGCAUUGUGAUUGGCCGGUUUGGACGACGGCUGUACCUCUUCGUCUUUCUCGCGGAUCAGUUUUUCCGUCUCUGUGUCUGAUACGUUGGGAGCUGUGGGAAUGGGGAAAUCCGUGCCACUCUCUCUAUCAUCCAUUCAUUUUCUGAACCACUCGUACUACACAGACAGACUCGGGACACAAGACUGGGGACAUCCUGAACAGGGUGCUUGCACACAGAGCAGAGGCAGGAAUUGAACCCACAAGCCCAGAGGUGCUAGGCAAACCAGAGACUCUAACCACGAGACCAAAUAAACCCCUGCACUGCAAUUCCUGUGAAUGCAAUGCAAACUCAGCUCUGCACUUAUUCAAGAGGAGUCCCCAGUGUCAGGACAGAAGUUAUUCAGCAGUUCCUUAACCAUGUUCUUCUGACAAGGCACUGCAGUGGAACUGAAAGGAUUUCACAUGAAUUUCUGAAACAGCUUACGGAUAUAUUGUACUCAAGAAACCAAAAACUCAUCCUUGUCCUCAUCCAAGAGCCCUGCUGGGACUACUCCGGCGGUCCAGCUCUAAUUCCGAUGAAAACAAGUGUGACCACAACUCUCCAUGAGGCCCAAAUUUUGAGAAACCUCAACAGAAGGCACUUAGCUAAAUCAAGAUGUCAUUGUAUAACUUUGCAGUUAAAACACAAACAUCUGUUUUCAGUCGCUUGGAGAUCUGUCAGCUUCUCAGUUUCGUAUAUUUAAAGAAAGAAUAUAAGACUGUUACGGUGGUCAUGUGACUGCAAUAUUGUCUUUGUGGUCGAUCUCCAUUGUUUUUGCUCAGCUGUGAAUGGAGCAUAAAACUGCCACCAAAAAGUAGGUUCACAUGCUACUGUCUAAACCGAAGAUUUCAUCAUGAAGAUGGAUUUAGAUUUCAUCAUACGACAAAUACAGUAGCUGGUUUUCAAACAGAAGACAAAAUUAUGAUAAAAUUAUGUUCUGGUGAAAUGAUAAUUAUUUCAUUUUGCACCUGUUUUUGUUGUAUUCAUGUUCUGCAUUAAAUGUCGUUGUCAUGCCACAAUCCACAGCGGUGAUUGAAAUAAAGCUCAUAUGAAAGUAGACACUCAGGGCUUGAGAGAAAAGUACUUCUCUCAAGUAUUUACCUAGCCUACU
Hemibagrus wyckioides is the source of this 1256-nucleotide long non-coding RNA. RefSeq lists it as uncharacterized. NCBI's taxonomy places the organism in Eukaryota, Metazoa, Chordata, Actinopteri, Siluriformes, Bagridae. The record is from RefSeq and is a predicted model, not a curated record. The transcript is spliced from 4 exons.